Molecule: long non-coding RNA, 3759 nt
Filed under: Homo sapiens (human)
Lineage: Eukaryota; Metazoa; Chordata; Mammalia; Primates; Hominidae
Description: HSALNT0391105
Source: RNAcentral
GUCUUAAACUCCUGAGCUCAAAUGAUUCUCCCGUCUUGGCCUCCCAAAGUGCUGGGAUUACAGGCACCCACCACCAUGCCCAGCUAAUUUUUGUAUUUUUAGUAAAGAUGAGGUUUCACCAUGUUGGCCAGGCUGGUCUCAAACUCCUGACCUCAAAUGAUUGGCCUGCCUUGGCCUCCCAAAGUGCUGGGAUUACAGGCAUGAGCUAUUGCGCCCGGCAAUAUGAAUGAAUGUUUUUAAUACCAUUGAAUUACACACCUAAAAUUGGUUAAAAUGGUAAAAAAUUUUAUGUUAUGUAUAACUUACCACAAUAAUUUAAAAAAUAUUGUGAAGCGCCUGCCUCAUGUGAGGUCUUCUAAUAAGAGGGGCUGUUCUCCUUCUCAAGAGCGCUCGCGGGCAUUGGGAGUUUCUUAUUCUCAAAUGUCCACAUCCCAAGGCCUACCCCGUCCCUGUCAGUGUCAGAAGUUAGCAGAGCAGAACUGCUAGAUGUGCUCACUCCAUCUCCUCCAUGGUUGGCCCACCCUUUCGAUCAGAUCCUGGAAUUGGCUUUCAGCACAGCCUUCCAGCUGGCUGUGAUAAAUGAGAGUGGCUUAAACCCUGUCAUCAGGGUUUCACAGCUUGCCCUGAACCGUAGCCUCUCAUUUUCUCCUUGCAAAUCUUCUAAGGCAGCUAAGAGAAGCCAAUUAACUUCACAAUCCACAUAAUUAGCAUUGCCCCAAACCUUUCAAGUGCUGGAAUGCUGGCGUCCACUAGUGCCUCAUUUCUUUCUAAACCUCAUUCCACAUGGCAGGGGAAGGUCUUAGGAAUUGUGGAGCUGUGGCGUUCUAAGGGUUCUCACUGCCUACCUAUCACCAGCAAGGGAGUCCUUGUUGCCAUCCAUCCCUAGGGGGUAAUUUUGUUCCCUGAGGCUGCUUUCUAGGGACUUCUGGUCGCUUGUUUUAUCCUGGACCAGACCUGAAAGCAGAGCCUGAAAUAAGGCCUUCUAUGCACAUCAUUUAUGUAGGAGGUGGCCCUAGGAAGCAGGCCCAAUGCGCCAUGGGAAAAACCAGUACCAGGGUGUUUUGCUGAGUUGAGCACUGUGGUGGGCAGCUGGACAUGAGCCCACUGGAAUCUUCUGAAGAGCCCAAGAGCCUCUUCUCAGUAUUGUCCACUUGAGGAUUGAUAGUGAGAGGCAUUUAUCCACUGGUGUCCAACGCUCACUGGUUGAGGAUCACCCCAGAAAGCGACACCUCCCCCACUUCUAGACUAGCAUGUGGGUAUUCCAAGCAGGCUUACCUCAGUGUCUCACCCCAGGCACUGCAAACACCCCAGGACAGAAAGUGAACAUGUGUAUUGUGCAAUUGAAGCAAGACACUAUCAGUGCAAAGUGAGUAGACCCUCAGAUGCUGCUGGGUCAGAGGGAAGGCCCAGGGAUAUGACACAGGACACAGAGGUGGCAGAUACACCACCUCCCAACAUUUCCUCUAUCACAGCAACUAGAACAAUGGCAACAAUAGGGGUGGGUGUGGUGGCUCACGCCUAUAAUCCCAAUACCCUGGGAGGCCAAGGCAGAAGGAUUGCUUGAGCCCAGGAGUUCAAGACUAGCCUGGGCAACUUGGCGAAACCCUGUCUCUACAAACAUAUUUGUAUGUGAUUGAACAAGUAGAACAAUGGAACGGAAAGUCCAGAUGUAGUUCUAAAUAUGUACAGGAACUUAGUAUAGGAUAAAUAUGGCAUCUUAAAUCAAUGGGGAAAAGAUGGAUUAUUCAACAUAUUGUAAAAACUUGAGAAUCACAUUAAAAAAGUUGGACUCCUACCUCAUUCUUUACAACAAAAUUAAUUCUGAUAGAUGUAGUCACAGAAGAGCUAGAAGAAUAUGCAGGGGAUUUAAAAAUAAUCUUGAAGUGGGGAGGACUUUUAUAGGUAUGACUCACAACCCAGAAAACAUAAAGGAUUGUUAAAUUUAAUUAGAUAAAUCAUUUAAUUAGAUGAAACAUUUAAAAAUUACAUUUAGAAAUCAUAAACUAAAUCCAAAGAAUAACUAGGGGCCGGGCGCAGUGGCUCACGUCUGUAAUCCCAUGGGGCAGGUGGAUCACCUGAGGUUGGGAGUUUGAGACCAGCCUGUCCAACACGGUGAAACCCCGUCUCUACUAAAAAUACAAAAAUUAGUUGGUGUGGUGGCACAUACCUGUAGUCCCUGCUACUGGGGAGGCUGAGGCAUGAGAAUUGCUUGAACCUGGGAGGUGGAGGUUGCAGUGAGCCAAGAUCGCGCCACUGCAUUCCAGCCUGGGCGACAGAGCAAGACUCCAUCUCAAAAAAAAAAAAAAAAAAAAAAAAAAAAAAAAGAAUAACUAGGGAGAAAACACCAUGAUGUGUUGCAUAAUAACAUUUCAGUCAUUCAUGGACCAAAUAUAAAAUGGGGUCCCAAAAAACUAUAAUACCGUGUUUUUACUGUACCUUUUCUAUGUUUAGACACAUUUAGAUACACAAAUACUUACCAUUGUGCUACAAUUGCCUAGUGUUCAGUAGCAUGCUGUACAGGUUUAUCCCUAGGAAGAAUAGACUAUCCCACACACCCUAGGCGUGUAGCAGGCUAUGCCAUCUAGGUUUGUGUGAGUACACUCUAUGCUGUUCAAACAGUGACCUCCACUGUUAGGUGAAGCAUGACUGUAUUUUGAGCCCAGGUCUCAGAUAUUGUAUGAAGUUUCAUAAUAUUAUGAGCUUUUACAAAUCAUUAAGAGAAAGACCAAUAAUCCAGUAGAAAACUGGGAAAAGGUGGCAUCUGCAGGGUAACACCAGGGCAGCACAGAAAUCUUGCUGGGAUGAGGAGCUGCAAACAUGUGUGGUCGACUUUUUGGCCUUCUGCCUCUUCUACUCUCAGGGAUGGGGGAUUACAACUAAAGAAGUUGUCUUUUGGCCGGGCGUGGUGGCUCACGCCUGUAAUCCCAGCACUUUGGGAGGCCGAGGCGGGUGGAUCACAAGGUCAGGAGAUCAAGACCAUCCUGGCUAACACGAUGAAACCCCGUCUCUACUAAAAAAUUCAAAAACAUUGGCCGGGCGAGGUGGCGGGCACCUGUAGUCCCAGCUACUCGGGAGGCUGAGGCAGAAGAAUUGUGUGAACCCGGGAGGCGGAGCUUGCAGUGAGCCCAGAUCGCGCCACUGCACUCCAGCCUGGGCGACAGAGGAAGGCUCCGUCUCAAAAAAAAAAAAAAAAGAAGAAGUUAUCUUUUCUCAGUGUUGCUUCUCCCUAAGGAUUUAAAGGGGAGACCUGGCCAGAGGAAUCAUCAACAGUGGAUUUGUGAUGACUGGAGUUCAUUUCCUUCUUUCUCAACUGUCCUGGAAGGAAAUGGACUAGUGCCUUACCUCUGACUCUUCCGCAGCACACACCCACCACCAGAGACAGUAACUGAGAUCUGCAGUAGCACAGAAACUUACAGGUUAGAAAAAUUAGACACCUAAGGAUUUCAUGACUCCAGACCUGUUUCCUUAGCAUAAUACCACACCAGUAGGAGAAAUACAACUUACGAAAUUUCUUUGUAAAUAAAUUCUAUAACAUUUUGGGUAAAAAUUUAUCAUAAAAAAAUUAUUAAAAGCAAUUGGGUUGGAAGGAAGUUCUGUCAAAAUACAAUCCAGGUGUGCAGUUCUCUGAUAAAUUUAGCAGUGGUUACUACUGAGGCAGUCUCAAAAAAAAGUGUAAAAGGACUUUAAGGGGUGAUGAAAAUUUUCUACAUUGCCUUUGUGGAGAUGGUUAUACAUUUGUCAAUACUCAUCAAUUUGUAC